GAUGAACGCUGGCGGCGUGCCUAAUACAUGCAAGUCGAACGAAACUUCUUUAUCACCGAGUGCUUGCACUCACCGAUAAAGAGUUGAGUGGCGAACGGGUGAGUAACACGUGGGCAACCUGCCCAAAAGAGGGGGAUAACACUUGGAAACAGGUGCUAAUACCGCAUAACCAUAGUUACCGCAUGGUAACUAUGUAAAAGGUGGCUAUACUACCGCUUUUGGAUGGGCCCGCGGCGCAUUAGCUAGUUGGUAGGGUAAAGGCUUACCAAGGCAAUGAUGCGUAGCCGAAUUGAGAGGUUGAUCGGCCACAUUGGGACUGAGACACGGCCCAAACUCCUACAGGAGGCAGCAGUAGGGAAUCUUCCACAAUGGGCGAAAGCCUGAUGGAGCAACGCCGCGUGGGUGAAGAAGGUCUUCGGAUCGUAAAACCCUGUUGUUAGAGAAGAAAGUGCGUGAGAGUAACUGUUCACGUUUCGACGGUAUCUAACCAGAAAGCCACGGCUAACUACGUG
This 512-nucleotide ribosomal RNA is filed under the name uncultured bacterium. Its description in RNAcentral is "partial 16S ribosomal RNA". It matches the Rfam family "Bacterial small subunit ribosomal RNA", at positions 28 to 507 of the family's 1533-position model. The record is from RNAcentral.